This 751-nucleotide ribosomal RNA is filed under the name uncultured Achromobacter sp. RNAcentral's name for it is "bacterial SSU rRNA". It matches the Rfam family "Bacterial small subunit ribosomal RNA", at positions 9 to 756 of the family's 1533-position model. The record is from RNAcentral. Lineage: Bacteria; Pseudomonadati; Pseudomonadota; Betaproteobacteria; Burkholderiales; Alcaligenaceae.
GAGUUUGAUCCUGGUUCAGAUUGAACGCUAGCGGGAUGCCUUACACAUGCAAGUCGAACGGCAGCACGGACUUCGGUCUGGUGGCGAGUGGCGAACGGGUGAGUAAUGUAUCGGAACGUGCCCAGUAGCGGGGGAUAACUACGCGAAAGCGUAGCUAAUACCGCAUACGCCCUACGGGGGAAAGCAGGGGAUCGUAAGACCUUGCACUAUUGGAGCGGCCGAUAUCGGAUUAGCUAGUUGGUGGGGUAACGGCUCACCAAGGCGACGAUCCGUAGCUGGUUUGAGAGGACGACCAGCCACACUGGGACUGAGACACGGCCCAGACUCCUACGGGAGGCAGCAGUGGGGAAUUUUGGACAAUGGGGGAAACCCUGAUCCAGCCAUCCCGCGUGCGCGAUGAAGGCCUUCGGGUUGUAAAGCACUUUUGGCAGGAAAGGAACGUCAUGGGUUAAUACCCCGUGAAACUGACGGUACCUGCAGAAUAAGCACCGGCUAACUACGUGCCAGCAGCCGCGGUAAUACGUAGGGUGCAAGCGUUAAUCGGAAUUACUGGGCGUAAAGCGUGCGCAGGCGGUUCGGAAAGAAAGAUGUGAAAUCCCAGAGCUUAACUUUGGAACUGCAUUUUUAACUACCGGGCUAGAGUGUGUCAGAGGGAGGUGGAAUUCCGCGUGUAGCAGUGAAAUGCGUAGAUAUGCGGAGGAACACCGAUGGCGAAGCAGCCUCCUGGGAUAACACUGACGCUCAUGCACGA